This 460-nucleotide ribosomal RNA is filed under the name uncultured bacterium. Its description in RNAcentral is "partial 16S ribosomal RNA". It matches the Rfam family "Bacterial small subunit ribosomal RNA", at positions 338 to 795 of the family's 1533-position model. The record is from RNAcentral.
CCUACGGGAGGCAGCAGUGAGGAAUAUUGGUCAAUGGCCGGAAGGCUGAACCAGCCAUGCCGCGUGAAGGUCAGUGCCCUAUGGGCGUUAAACUUCUUUUGUGCGGGAGCAAUAAUGGUCACGUGUGGCCAGACGAGAGUACCGUACGAAUAAGCAUCGGCUAACUACGUGCCAGCAGCCGCGGUAAUACGGGGGAUGCAAGCGUUAUCCGGAUUUAUUGGGUUUAAAGGGUGCGUAGGCUGUGAGGUAAGUCAGCGGUGAAAUGCCCCCGCUCAACGGGGUGAAGUGCCAUUGAUACUGCCUGGCUGGAAUGCGGAUGCGGUGGGAGGAAUGUGUGGUGUAGCGGUGAAAUGCAUAGAUAUCACACAGAACACCGAUUGCGAAGGCAUCUCACGAAUCCGCGAUUGACGCUGAUGCACGAAAGCGUGGGUAUCAAACAGGAUUAGAUACCCGGGUAGUC